CGCGUAGGCGGUCUUGUAGGUCAGAUGUGAAAGCUCCCGGCUUAACCGGGAAAGUGCAUUUGAAACCAUGAGACUUGAGUAUGGGAGAGGGAAGUGGAAUUCCUGGUGUAGAGGUGAAAUUCGUAGAUAUCAGGAGGAACACCGGUGGCGAAGGCGACUUCCUGGACCAAUACUGACGCUGAGGCGCGAAGGCGUGGGGAGCAAACA
This 207-nucleotide ribosomal RNA is filed under the name uncultured bacterium. RNAcentral's name for it is "partial 16S ribosomal RNA". It matches the Rfam family "Bacterial small subunit ribosomal RNA", at positions 568 to 774 of the family's 1533-position model. The record is from RNAcentral.